CAUGAAGAACGUAGCGAAAUGCGAUAAGUAAUGUGAAUUGCAGAAUUCAGUGAAUCAUCGAAUCUUUGAACGCACAUUGCGCCCGCCAGUAUUCUGGCGGGCAUGCCUGUUCGAGCGUCAUUUCAACCAUCAAGCCCCCGGCUUGUGUUGGGGACCUGCGGCUGCCGCAGGCCCUGAAAAGCAGUGGCGGGCUCGCUGUCACACCGAGCGUAGUAGCAUACAUCUCGCUCUGGGCGUGCUGCGGGUUCCGGCCGUUAAACCACCUUCAUAACCCAAGGUUGACCUCGGAUCAGGUAGGAAGACCCGCUGAACUUAAGCAUAUCAAUAAGCGGAGGA
RNAcentral lists this unclassified non-coding RNA (336 nucleotides) under soil metagenome. Its description in RNAcentral is "partial contains 5.8S ribosomal RNA, internal transcribed spacer 2, and large subunit ribosomal RNA". The stretch from base 2 to 120 matches the Rfam family "5.8S ribosomal RNA", at positions 36 to 154 of the family's 154-position model. The record is from RNAcentral.